Vanessa tameamea is the source of this 2002-nucleotide RNA transcript. It is a transcript of the gene named antichymotrypsin-2-like, with no coding region annotated. The record is from RefSeq and is a predicted model, not a curated record. The transcript is spliced from 10 exons. NCBI's taxonomy places the organism in Eukaryota, Metazoa, Arthropoda, Insecta, Lepidoptera, Nymphalidae.
AACUAAAUCAAAAUCGAUAAGAUAAAAUAAAUAACAGAGGAUUGGUCAACUUUUAUCUUUUAAAUUAGUGAAUUAUUGUUAAAAUAAGAAUUGACUUUGAUAAUAAUAAGCUACAAACGUUGAUGUGGAUCAGAAAAACAUUUCUACUCACUCUAGUUUUGGGAGUGAAAACAGUAUAUUCUGCAAACAUGGAUUCCAAAGCACUCACUUCAUCAAUAGCCCAGUUUUCUGUGAAGUUCUGCAAUGAACUAGAUAAGACUACAAGUGUGGUAUCCUCACCUCUAUCAGCAGAGUUUGUGUUAGCUCUAUUGACUUUGGGAACAAGUGAGCCCGCUCACUCUGAAUUACUGACAUCUCUAGGUAUUCCUGGAGAUGACGAUAUUCGAUCUUCAUUUUCUUCACUAUCAACAAAAUUGAAAUCUAUUAAAGGUGUGACCCUCAAUGUUGCAAAUAAAGUCUACAUAAAAGAUGGUGAUUAUGAUUUGGAUGAGAAAUUAAAGGACGAUGCUGUCAAGAUAUUCGAUGCUGCUCUCGAAAAAGUUGACUUCAGUAAUGGUGCAGCUGCUGCUGAUCUUAUUAACAAAUGGGUUGAGCAACAGACAAAUGAAAAAAUAAAGAAACUUCUUUCUGAAGACAGCCUCAAUGAAGAUUCAAGACUUGUGCUCUUAAACGCUAUCUACUUUAAGGGAACCUGGAAGAAGCAGUUCGACCCAGCUAACACCAUCCAGCAACCGUUCUACGUCGAUGAUAAAAAUACUGUAGAUGUCCCUAUGAUGUACAAAGAAGAUGACUACCUCUACGGGGAGAGCUCGCAACUAAACGCUCAGCUUCUCCAAAUACCCUACGUGGGCGACGAAGCCAGCAUGCUCAUAGUCCUUCCCCGCGAUAUCACGGGCCUCGACGCCGUGAUGACGAAGCUGGCCGGCGGCUACGACUUGCUCGCCGAUAUGGACAAGAUGUACAAAGCUACAGUGCAAGUCACCAUACCUAAAUUCAAGAUCGAAACGGAAAUCGAUCUAGCAACUCUUCUGCCCAAGCUCGGUAUCAAUGCUAUCUUCAACAUCCAAAAUUCUGGUAUCACCAAGGUUCUAAACAAACCGGAACAAUUGUACGUUUCUAAGGCCGUGCAAAAAGCCUUCAUCGAAGUCAAUGAGGAGGGCGCUGAAGCCGCAGCCGCUACGGGCAUGGUGAUGAUGCUGCGCUGCGCGCGCCCGCCCGCGCUGCGCUUCGUCGCCGACCGCCCCUUCGUGUUCGCGCUGCUGCAGGCCCGCACCGAGCUGUUCGUGGGCGUGUACCGCGCCCGCUAGAGACACGUGCGGACCCGUGCGGACCCGUGCGGACCCGUGCGGACCCGUUGCCGCCCUCGCCGCUUUGUUGAACAUCAAAGCGCAUCGCAUGCGAACGCGUCAAUGUUGCACAAUUCGAUGGGCAUCAUGCAUUGUACCGCGUUGAUAGACGAGGAACCCGAGCCGAACUUCGUGGCGGACCGCCCCUUCCUCGCCGCUAUCGUAUCAAACAACACUAUCUAUUUCGUGGCAUCGUAUCGCGGAAAGUAAUACGUGACAAAUCAACAUUUUACAAUCGAUUCGAAUCUUAGACUCGCAGUCGAUUAUUUUUUAGCACACAGAUGACAAAACAGAUAAACUAUAUUCAUAUUUUAAAUGCUAAAAGCUGAUAUAUUUUUGAUGUGUCCUUUUUAUUAAUUACUCUAAUUAAUUAUUGUAUUUAAAUCAGUUAAUGCCAACAAAAUUCGAAAUUCGAUUGUUUUAACUUAUUUCAGAGUUUUGAUCUUAUUUACGUUACGUUAUGAAAAUUAUGUUCAAAUGAUCUUUUACUCUAUACAUUCUUAUUUAAUACCAGUUGAGCUUUUGUAGGCUUUAUUUAAAAUAUAUUUAAUUUAGGUACAAAGUGCACUUAAAUGUAAUGACUCAGUAUUGUUGUCGAGAUAUUGUUUAGAGUUUAUAUUUUUAUUUAUGUUAAUAUAUAUAAUAUUUAGUAAUUA